Molecule: long non-coding RNA, 812 nt
Filed under: Populus tremula
Lineage: Eukaryota; Viridiplantae; Streptophyta; Magnoliopsida; Malpighiales; Salicaceae
Description: long non-coding RNA (PTRE_LNC001543)
Source: RNAcentral
AAGUUCUCAAUCCUAGGGCUAGCAGACUAAACCAGCAGCUGGUUGCCUGGUUCCACAACCAGCAGCUGGUUGCCUGGUUCCAUAACUCACUUUCACUCUCUCUCAAAACACCCUUCUUUUUUCUUUACUUCAUUUGCCUCAGAUUGUCUCCAGUCUCCAGACUCUAUCUUCUGUGCUCUCGCGUUUCACCUCUCUGUAUCAUGUUAGGUUUUUUUCUUGCCAUACUUGAUUCUUAAAGACUUGUUUUGGAGAUAUGGUUGCUGUAAAUCUUGUUCUUGUUUCUCAAUUAUGAAUUAUUGCUAGCUAAAGACCUCAGGUAAAGUGAAAAUAAAUGAAAUUUUACCCUUUGUCUGAAAAUAAGAUUUAAAUUUUACAGUUUCCUUCAUAAAUUUGAUUUUGGCUUUUGCGUGUUGAAGUUCUCUUCUGUGAGCAAAAAUGUUGUCUUCAAAUACUUACAACUUACAAGGUACCCUGUUUAUGCCCGAUUGAAGGUGAAGGUUUGCUAGAGGAAGGGUAGUGUUAUUAAUACCUGUCAUUAAAGUUGUGACCAUUCUUAAAUCUUAGGCUUUAAAGUUUGGUAGAUGAAGAAUAAACUUUGUUGCUAUUUCAUGAUGCAAUUGAGAUUUGUGAAGCCAUCUCCAUAUAGGAACAAUACUAGCCCUUUAAUGCCUCUUUACAAUGAUAUUUAAUGAUGACAGUAGGAGUCAACUUAAUGGAUGCUUAUUUCUUAUAAUGGAUGCUUUAAAAGAAGCUGAAGAUUGGAUGGCCUACAUUGUUCACAACUGAAACUUAUGAUCUUCAUGUGUAAACAC